CAAAGAGUAGUUUAAUUAAGAAUACUAGCUUUGGGAGUUAGUGGUAGGGGUUAAAAUCCCCUCUCUUUGA
Molecule: transfer RNA, 70 nt
Filed under: Siganus spinus (little spinefoot)
Lineage: Eukaryota; Metazoa; Chordata; Actinopteri; Siganidae
Description: tRNA-Pro
Rfam family: tRNA
About the family: Transfer RNA (tRNA) molecules are approximately 80 nucleotides in length. Their secondary structure includes four short double-helical elements and three loops (D, anti-codon, and T loops). Further hydrogen bonds mediate the characteristic L-shaped molecular structure. tRNAs have two regions of fundamental functional importance: the anti-codon, which is responsible for specific mRNA codon recognition, and the 3' end, to which the tRNAs corresponding amino acid is attached (by aminoacyl-tRNA synthetases). tRNAs cope with the degeneracy of the genetic code in two manners: having more than one tRNA (with a specific anti-codon) for a particular amino acid; and 'wobble' base-pairing, i.e. permitting non-standard base-pairing at the 3rd anti-codon position.
Source: RNAcentral